GACCAGAUAGCUCAGUUGGUAGAGUGUCUGGGUAUCAUCUAGUAGGCCCUGGGUUCAAUCCCCAGUCUGGUCA
Molecule: transfer RNA, 73 nt
Filed under: Neolentinus lepideus HHB14362 ss-1
Lineage: Eukaryota; Fungi; Basidiomycota; Agaricomycetes; Gloeophyllales; Gloeophyllaceae
Rfam family: tRNA
About the family: Transfer RNA (tRNA) molecules are approximately 80 nucleotides in length. Their secondary structure includes four short double-helical elements and three loops (D, anti-codon, and T loops).
Source: Rfam by way of RNAcentral